GACGAACGCUGGUGGCGUGCUUAACACAUGCAAGUCGAACGGGAUUUAGUAAACAGAAGCCUCGGUGGAAGAUUACUAAUGAGAGUGGCGAACGGGUGAGUAACGCGUGAGCAACCUGCCUAUGACAGUGGGAUAGCCUCGGGAAACCGGGAUUAAUACCGCAUAAAAUCGUAGAAACACAUGUUUUAACGGUCAAAGAUUUAUCGGUCAUAGAUGGGCUCGCGUCUGAUUAGCUAGUUGGUGAGAUAACAGCCCACCAAGGCGACGAUCGGUAGCCGGUCUGAGAGGAUGAACGGCCACAUUGGAACUGAGACACGGUCCAAACUCCUACGGGAGGCAGCAGUGGGGAAUAUUGCACAAUGGGGGAAACCCUGAUGCAGCGACGCCGCGUGAACGAAGAAGGUAUUCGUAUCGUAAAGUUCUGUCCUAUGGGAAGAUAAUGACAGUACCAUAGAAGAAAGCGCCGGCUAAAUACGUG
This 478-nucleotide ribosomal RNA is filed under the name uncultured bacterium. RNAcentral's name for it is "partial 16S ribosomal RNA". It matches the Rfam family "Bacterial small subunit ribosomal RNA", at positions 28 to 507 of the family's 1533-position model. The record is from RNAcentral.